This 1385-nucleotide long non-coding RNA is filed under the name Zea mays. RNAcentral describes it as "long non-coding RNA (ZMAY_LNC005341)". The record is from RNAcentral. Lineage: Eukaryota; Viridiplantae; Streptophyta; Magnoliopsida; Poales; Poaceae.
GAAUCGCCGCUGCCCUGAGCCACUCGCCGCGCGCCUUGCGGAUUCGGGGGUGGGGUCCACCGAACAAAUUCAUCCCCUCCCUGCGUUCCGUUGCGCACGGCUAACGCUGCGGAAUCCGCGGAGGAUCUCCCGCACUUGUCGCGCAGCUUGACCGAACUCGUCCUCGCCCCUGGGUAUAAAUCCGUGGCCGCGGCAUCCCCUGGGCCAUUGGCGAGCUGCAUCACCGAACAGAGGGUUAGAGAAAGGAAGCGAGAUCCACCGCGAACGAAUCACAGGUAUGCCAUCGAUAGAGACUCGACAGCGGGUCUGGGAGCUUCGUCGGUUACCCUGGGACGCGUUCGAUGCGGCACCGGGGUCGAUGGCCAACCUGGUGGUGGGGAAUUUCUCGCCGUCGCGCAGCGACGCCAUGAAUCCGCUGUGCGCCGUGGCCAAGCUUCAUCCGUACCUCAAUGCCGGUAAGAAUACAUCCAUUGUGAUCGCGAUGCCGCGCACACCGUGUAGCUCCGUUCAAUUUGACUGUGGUGCUCGGGGGAGGCCAAUUAGUGCCACGGUCGCGUUCUCCACCGUGUGGCCAUGGCGCCGCCUCUGCGCAGUUCCUAGGGGGUUGAAGAAGAGUGCGGGCCGUUAGAUCCAAAUGGGCGGUGCAGAUUAAAACCUAUGUACUGCUUUGGGCCAACCCGAUCCAGACCAUGGAUCUAUUGAUGUGUGGCUCGGGUUGUUUUCCCUUCAUGCUCACAAUCCGAUUCGUCCAGAUCUAAUCCAACGGCUGAGACUUAAAGAUACCCCUUCGCGAUGACAGUUUUAUUAAAGAGCCCCUGUAGUAUUCUCAAAUCAACCCGCCAUCCCUCGAUCGUAAGAAUAUUUCACAGAUAAGUCCCUGGAAUUAGCAGAAGAGCCCCUGGAAGUAUUAUUUAGGUAUAAAUUUAAUAGUAAAAUACCUAUAACCUUGUUUAAUCCAUAUCUCAUCCGUUUUAACUUCAAAUUGAUCCAUUCCAGUUGCAUUAAUUUUGUUUUAAUACUGUUUAUCACCUAGUACCUUUGUUUAGCCAUGAAACUUAAUUUAAAAUCAUUCGCUUGAAUGACUCUAUUGUAGGUACUAAAUAACUCCAGAAAUUCAUACCUUGGUAACCGUAGCUCCGAAUGUAGUAAUUCUUGUUCCUACGAUCUCGUUGCGCAGCGUAGAAUAUUCUUAUAUAGUUUAUUCUUAUGUUUGGUGUGAUGUUAAUUUUGCCUAUACCAUGUAUGUUUGUAUUGCUACGACUAGCGCGAGGUCACGUGUCAUCUGAAGAGCAAGUUGGUACCUGGAAUCUCAAGUCCCAGGCAAGUUGUGCCCUUGAUAACUUCUUUUACCCACUCAUGUUCUAAUUAAUCAUAAUGAUCUGCAU